GGAGAGAUGUCCGAGUGGUCGAAGGUGCACGAUUGGAAGUCGUGUGAGGUUUAAAAGGCCUCCGAGGGUUCGAAUCCCUCUCUCUCCG
This 88-nucleotide transfer RNA is filed under the name Spirochaetaceae bacterium. RNAcentral describes it as "tRNA-Ser". It matches the Rfam family "tRNA". From Rfam's summary of the family: Transfer RNA (tRNA) molecules are approximately 80 nucleotides in length. Their secondary structure includes four short double-helical elements and three loops (D, anti-codon, and T loops). Lineage: Bacteria; Pseudomonadati; Spirochaetota; Spirochaetia; Spirochaetales; Spirochaetaceae. RNAcentral also lists the same sequence under 1 other name. The record is from RNAcentral.